Molecule: ribosomal RNA, 897 nt
Filed under: uncultured bacterium
Lineage: Bacteria
Description: bacterial SSU rRNA
Rfam family: Bacterial small subunit ribosomal RNA
Source: RNAcentral
AGAGUUUGAUCCUGGCUCAGGAUGAACGCUAGCUACAGGCUUAACACAUGCAAGUCGAGGGGAAACGACAUCGAAAGCUUGCUUUUGAUGGGCGUCGACCGGCGCACGGGUGAGUAACGCGUAUCCAACCUGCCCAUCACUUGGGGAUAACCUUGCGAAAGUAAGACUAAUACCCAAUGACGUCUCUAGAAGACAUCUGAAAGAGAUUAAAGAUUUAUCGGUGAUGGAUGGGGAUGCGUCUGAUUAGCUUGUUGGCGGGGUAACGGCCCACCAAGGCGACGAUCAGUAGGGGUUCUGAGAGGAAGGUCCCCCACAUUGGAACUGAGACACGGUCCAAACUCCUACGGGAGGCAGCAGUGAGGAAUAUUGGUCAAUGGGCGAGAGCCUGAACCAGCCAAGUAGCGUGCAGGAUGACGGCCCUAUGGGUUGUAAACUGCUUUUAUAAGGGAAUAAAGUGAGUCUCGUGAGACUUUUUGCAUGUACCUUAUGAAUAAGGACCGGCUAAUUCCGUGCCAGCAGCCGCGGUAAUACGGAAGGUCCGGGCGUUAUCCGGAUUUAUUGGGUUUAAAGGGAGCGUAGGCCGGAGAUUAAGCGUGUUGUGAAAUGUAGACGCUCAACGUCUGCACUGCAGCGCGAACUGGUUUCCUUGAGUACGCACAAAGUGGGCGGAAUUCGUGGUGUAGCGGUGAAAUGCUUAGAUAUCACGAAGAACUCCGAUUGCGAAGGCAGCUCACUGGAGCGCAACUGACGCUGAAGCUCGAAAGUGCGGGUAUCGAACAGGAUUAGAUACCCUGGUAGUCCGCACGGUAAACGAUGGAUGCCCGCUGUUGGUCUGAAUAGGUCAGCGGCCAAGCGAAAGCAUUAAGCAUCCCACCUGGGGAGUACGCCGGCAACGGU